AUUGAACGCUGGCGGCAGGCCUAACACAUGCAAGUCGAACGGUAACAGGAAGAAGCUUGCUUCUUUGCUGACGAGUGGCGGACGGGUGAGUAAUGUCUGGGAAACUGCCUGAUGGAGGGGGAUAACUACUGGAAACGGUAGCUAAUACCGCAUAACGUCGCAAGACCAAAGAGGGGGACCUUCGGGCCUCUUGCCAUCGGAUGUGCCCAGAUGGGAUUAGCUUGUGGGUGGGGUAACGGCUCACCAAGGCGACGAUCCCUAGCUGGUCUGAGAGGAUGACCAGCCACACUGGAACUGAGACACGGUCCAGACUCCUACGGGAGGCAGCAGUGGGGAAUAUUGCACAAUGGGCGCAAGCCUGAUGCAGCCAUGCCGCGUGUAUGAAGAAGGCCUUCGGGUUGUAAAGUACUUUCAGCGGGGAGGAAGGGAGUAAAGUUAAUACCUUUGCUCAUUGACGUUACCCGCAGAAGAAGCACCGGCUAACUCCGUG
This 490-nucleotide ribosomal RNA is filed under the name uncultured bacterium. RNAcentral describes it as "partial 16S ribosomal RNA". It matches the Rfam family "Bacterial small subunit ribosomal RNA", at positions 30 to 507 of the family's 1533-position model. The record is from RNAcentral.